GAUGAAGAACGUAGCGAAAUGCGAUAAGUAAUGUGAAUUGCAGAAUUCAGUGAAUCAUCGAAUCUUUGAACGCACAUUGCGCCCGCCAGUAUUCUGGCGGGCAUGCCUGUCUGAGCGUCAUUUCAACCCUCAUGCCCCUAGGGCGUGGUGUUGGGGAUCGGCCAAAGCCCGCGAGGGACGGCCGGCCCCUAAAUCUAGUGGCGGACCCGUCGUGGCCUCCUCUGCGAAGUAGUGAUAUUCCGCAUCGGAGAGCGACGAGCCCCUGCCGUUAAACACCCAACUUUCCAAGGUUGACCUCAGAUCAGGUAGGAAUACCCGCUGAACUUACGCAUAUCAAUAAGCGGAGGA
RNAcentral lists this unclassified non-coding RNA (348 nucleotides) under soil metagenome. RNAcentral describes it as "partial contains 5.8S ribosomal RNA, internal transcribed spacer 2, and large subunit ribosomal RNA". The stretch from base 1 to 120 matches the Rfam family "5.8S ribosomal RNA", at positions 35 to 154 of the family's 154-position model. The record is from RNAcentral.